This 636-nucleotide ribosomal RNA is filed under the name Sarcocystis gigantea. RNAcentral's name for it is "SSU rRNA". It matches the Rfam family "Eukaryotic small subunit ribosomal RNA", at positions 473 to 1074 of the family's 1831-position model. The record is from RNAcentral. Lineage: Eukaryota; Apicomplexa; Conoidasida; Eucoccidiorida; Sarcocystidae.
CAAGAUUACACACUGGAAUUGUAUUUUCUAGUGAUUGGAAUGAUGGGAAUCCAAACCCCUUUCAGAGUAACAAUUGGAGGGCAAGUCUGGUGCCAGCAGCCGCGGUAAUUCCAGCUCCAAUAGCGUAUAUAAAAGUUGUUGCAGUUAAAAAGCUCGUAGUUGGAUAUCUGCUGGAAGCAAUGAGUCCGCCCUUUUCAUAAGGGUGUGCACUUGAUGAAUUCUGGCAUGAUUUCAUCCUUAUAUUAUGUGUCGGAUUAUUUUAGGUUGAUUCCUAAUAUUGUUGCAUCAUAUUUGUUGGGAUGACGACUGUUACGUUAAAACAAUUGUGGUGUUAGAAUCUUGUUUUUGUUGCCAUUACUACAGCAUAAAGUAACUUAUAUGAAAUCAGGCUGUACUUCUUGUUGGCUUUUCUUAUGUAAUAAUUAGAAGGACGUUUGGGUAGAGGUCCAUCUUUUAGUCUUGUAUGAGGUGAUGUCUUGUUGUGACUAGAUAUUGGGGAGGCCCUGGCAAUAGAUGUGCUCAUUAUCACUUUAACAUGAUCCUCAGUGAUCGGCUCGGAUUCGAUAACGACCCGUCCUCGUCCUUAUCCUAUCCCUAGACUAUAUCGAGAAGUGUUAUUGGUCGAAAAUCUCGUUG